AUACGUAGGGGGCGAGCGUUGUCCGGAAUUACUGGGCGUAAAGAGCUCGUAGGUGGUUUGUCGCGUCGUCUGUGAAAUUCCGGGGCUUAACUCCGGGCGUGCAGGCGAUACGGGCAUAACUUGAGUACUGUAGGGGAGACUGGAAUUCCUGGUGUAGCGGUGAAAUGCGCAGAUAUCAGGAGGAACACCGGUGGCGAAGGCGGGUCUCUGGGCAGUAACGGACGCUGAGGAGCGAAAGCAUGGGGAGCGAACAGGAUUAGAUACCCUGGUAGUCCAUGCCGUAAACGGUGGGCGCUAGGUGUAGGGGUCUUCCACGACUUCUGUGCCGUAGCUAACGCAUUAAGCGCCCCGCCUGGGGAGUACGGCCGCAAGGCUAAAACUCAAAGGAAUUGACGGGG
Molecule: ribosomal RNA, 398 nt
Filed under: uncultured bacterium
Lineage: Bacteria
Description: partial 16S ribosomal RNA
Rfam family: Bacterial small subunit ribosomal RNA
Source: RNAcentral